This 6063-nucleotide long non-coding RNA is filed under the name Gallus gallus (chicken). The record is from RNAcentral. Lineage: Eukaryota; Metazoa; Chordata; Aves; Galliformes; Phasianidae.
GAGAUUUUGGCCUUCAGAAAAGGAAAGAAAAAAGUAAAAGCAAGGCAGAGAAGUUCCAAGUGGAGUUGGACCUAUACCUAAUGGCAAGAGAGCAGUUGGUAUUUGCCUGGUUUUCUGACUUGGUCAGAUAGCCCUGGAGUAAAUGGGAUCCCUGCUUACGCUAUUAGUACUUUUCCAAAGUGGAGGUUCCCUCGUGUUUCUGUAAGAACAGCACGUUCCUGGGCUCAGAACACUUGCUCUGCCCUUAGCGUGCAGGUCAAACCUUGCACUCCUCUGACACAAAAGAUUGUGAUGUUUUCCUGAAGCCCAACUUUUUGUACUUCUGUUUGCUGGGCUGACGGUGGAACCUCCCCAUGCCUGGAAGUCUGUUGUGACAACCAGCAUUAACCUAUUGAAAGGGUAAGGUUUUAGAUAGAAAUACAUUUAUAUACGUACUUACAGUGGCAGUUUCUGUUUAAAAAUGGUUACAUGUAUCACUAGAAAAAGGGUGAAACACGAGGUACAGUAAGGUGACUUUCCAAGUGAGACGUGUCACAAAACCAAGGAAGUUAGCUGAGGCUCCCAGGUCUCUGGCUACUGCAGAAGUGCCCUAAAUUCCCCUGGUGGGAAAUCAUGCUUUUUUUUUUUUUUCUACAUGGGAAACUUAUCUUAACAGACAUAGCAAAAUCCUAACCUGAAUUAGUCUUCAAAUAAUAAAUGUACAUACCACUGCUAUGAGUAUUAACUAGUUACUGUCUAUAGCGCCUUUAAUUUGAAGAUCUGAAAGUGCUUGUAAAGAAUGAACUAACCCCCCUGCGAGGUAGGUAAGUAGUAGUAUCCCUAUUUUACAGAUGGGGAAACUGAGGCAUUAGAGAGGCUACGUGACUUGCCCAAGGUCACAGGUGAGUCAGUGGCAGAGCUGGGAACAGACCUCAAGUCUUGCUGUCUUGUCCUGUGCUCUGUCACUGUGCAUGCUGCUUCUGUAGGGACCACGUAUACAAAUAGUUGAGUAUUUACAUAUAUACCAGUAUGUGAGUAAUAUACAAUUAUCCAAAUCAUCUGCAGAGAUGUUGCUUAAUUUCUUAUUUCUAAAACAACUUCAGUCUCCGACCUGGAGUACGCUGCCUCCUAGCUCUGUGACAGUCCGUGUCUGGGGGUCUGACUGCUUACUGGUGAUUGCUGUAGGUUACAAAGCCAGGUGAAAAUGAUGCCGGGGAUGGGAGGUGAGAAAUAAAGCUACUUUGAAGAGCAGGAAACCUAGAGAACAGGACAAGUGAUCAAGACCUACUUGAUUCCAAAUUCCUAGCAUUUGUAUGAUGAUUGUUGUUGGGGCACCCAGAACAGAGGCCAGGCGUGGGCCAGUUGUGGCACAGCUGUGCACCCUGAACCAGGGAAUAGGUUAACUCCUCACAGAAGAUGCUCGGUGUCUCAUAAGCUCCUACCCCAGCUGCUUGCACAAACAGCAGAGAGAUGCUUCAACCAUUCCUCCGAUGGAAAGAGUAAGAAAAUGGAAAAAUGUAAGUAAAAUCUCCAGUAGUCUGACUGCAGGUGAUCUUAAAAAGGAAAAAUAAGGCUGGCAUCAAUCAAAUGUAUUUUUUCCACAAGAUCUUUCAGUUUCUUCCCCUGACCCUCCACCUUAACAGUAGUAAUAAUAAUUCACGAGCUGCUAUAAAGCCUAUUGCUACAAAAGGGAUGCAUAGAUACAAUCAAUCAAUUUGGCCUUCUGGGGAGACCAGACUGACAAUUUUGCAAACUCCUGGACACAUGUAUUCAUCACUUAGUAUAGCAAAUCGUUGUGUUCACUGUGAAAGUCAGCUCAAACUAGUUCGUAGCUGGGAAGUAUCUGAGUCAUGGAACAAAUCCCCCAGGAGCUGCAGCCCAGCAGCCCUGUGAUGUUCCUCUCCUGUUCAGCAGAACACUAUCAAGAGAUUAUUGCAGUGCUUUAUCCAUCAUGCCAUUACAAUGUGGCAGCUCCUACCCCUGCCCUUUCAGGACACAGCAGGAGGACAUGACUCACACGGUUUGCACAGAAGGGAUUUGCAUUCCCCUCUGUCACUUCCACAUUUUUGAGGGGCAUUGCUGCAGAGUUAUUAGCAUUUCAUUUGGAGAUUUGUACCUGUUAAUGUAGGGCUGAGUUUGAAUGACACCAUUUAAUCGGAGCCGGCUCCGGUGUACUUGAUUUGUGGAAAACUUACAAGCCCUUCUGCUGCCUGAGGAUGCGAGCCCUGCAUCUGCCCCAGCCCCCAACCCAGCUGACACCCAUCUGCACAACCAAACCGGGGUGGGUUUUAUUCCCACUUGUUACAAUGGUAACAUAAAGAUGUGCUGCCCCGGAGUUUAUAAGCUGCACUAUGCUUAGACGAAGCAUGAAAUAAUUCAAACCCUUCUCCUCACUUCCUGUAGCAGCUCCCGUUAAUACUGGUGCUUCCAAAAAUACACUAGAUUGGAUUUGUUAAACUGUGGGUCCUUAUUGUGGGCUGCUUUGAGAACCGCAUUCAGCUGCUUCUCACUGCAGCUCUCAUAGGUGGGUUUGCAUCAUAAAGGCAGGAUUGCUGGAUUUCUCAUUGAGCAAUCAGCAAACUGCUUCUGACCCCUAAGAUUUUGCAGGUCUCCGUGUGAUGCUUUGCUCAGCCUUACUUACAGGAAGAGAAGAUGCAAUUCUCAAAGACUGCUAUAACCCUGCCGUGUCCUCAGGAAGAUCCCAACAAGGUGGUGGUUUUCCUUAACAGCUGGAGAGUCAGAUCUGAAAUUAGGCAAAGCAUCAUACCCCAGGCAUCCCAGCAUCUCAUUUAUGCAAGACUGCACUGCCUCUGCAGAAGAUGUGAUCUUUGGCAGUACCCCUCAGGAUGUGCUCCAGCCCCAAUAACCUGUCCUGGGAAUAGAGCCUUCAGCCUGACAAAGCCAUGGUGUAAGGCACAGCCAUUUCUCAGCUCCUGGUCAGCACUGGCUUCUUCCAGGCAAGCAGCCAACUUAACAGCAGCUCUGAAGCAGUAUCAAGUGCCAGUCAUCUGUGUAUCUCAGCAACAGCACAGAAAGUCCAAAGUAUCACAUCGUGAAAAAUCAUCGUGUCAACCAUUUUGCUCUUGAUGGGGCAUCUUCUCCCCUUUUUGAUGCUCCUUAGGAUAAAUGCAACAAUGGGAGUGCCUGGACAGGGCCUGGCAGAAACGGAGGGGGAAAAUGAGCAAUUGCAAAAACAGUAACAGAAGGGUAAUGUUUCCUGCCAUGCUCCUUCCGUUGCCUUAGAAAAGGGACUGCAGAGACUUCCCAGAUGGGGUCUGGGCUGCUCUCCCUUCAGUUGCUUUUCAGGAAUGCAGCUCACAGACCCAGGGACCUCACUGCUGUACAGCAGGUGGGUGGCUGUAUAUGACACUGGCUCGGGAGGCAGCAAGAAGUGAACGCAGCAGUGGAAAUUAGGCAGGAAUUUCAAAAACGGAUACAGCUCGGUGUAAGGGUGAGGUUUACCAUUAGUGAUAUAAGAACCACACUGAGGUUUCUGUCUCAGGCAGCCACAGCUGGUUUGGGGCUGUUCAUCAAUGCAGAAGUUGGGAGCAAGGCCAGGUAUUGGCUUCCCCUGCCUGCCUUACUGGGAGGCCAUCCUGCUCCCUACAAGGGAAUUUCUUCAUGGCAGUGAGGUAAACAAGCAAAUCAUAAUGCUUUCUAGUUGCAUGAUCACAGGGGUCUCUAACUCAGUAACAAUUUACAAUAACGAGUAUAAUGACCAGGAGAACACGUUACUGAAAGAAUCAGAGGUUGUAUUGCUUAAAGAAAACAAAAAGCCAGUAAUAACCUGAAACCCUUCCUAAAAAGGUUUUACGUAUGAUUCUCAGCCUCUUGCUAAGCCACCACUCACCAGCUGGAUGUGCUGAUGAGGAGUUCAAGCAGGAUGCAGAGCCGAUCACACUGGAUAGCAGCAGCGAUAACCCAGCAGUGCUCUCCUCUCAUCAUCCCAGCACUGGAGAAAUCCUCCACUCUGCCACUGGUGUAACUGAAUUAUGUGGGAAUCGAAGACUGACUGCAUCUGAAGGAGUACUGCGGUUUACAGUGGCUUUGCUUUAUAAAUGGUCAAACCUUCCCUUCAGUUUUUGUGAAGGUAAAAAUAAAUAAAUAAAUAAAAUCAUAGGAGGUGCAAAUAGCUAUAAAAUAGGCUAACAGAGUUUUACAUUUGUUUCAUCCUGUGGACAGAACGGAAUUCAUAACGCUGAAUCAGGUGAGAGCAAACAAUUACAAACAAUGAACUAAGUUUUCUAGCAGGUGUUAAGAUGCCUUACUUAUAGCCGUGUUGUAACAUGGUCCUCUUGCCCGUCUUUCCACUGGUUUAUAAACAAGUCACAAGCCUCUCCCCAUGAAUCAAACACAUCCUCUGAUGAGUCUAAAAGUUUGGAAUUAGAGGAACAAAUACUGGAAGCACAGUGAAGGGAACUGGUACAAACCACAGGGCACUCCUUGCUCUGUCCUGUAAGUCUCGUGUUCCCACUGUAGUCUACCUCAUUGAGGUUAAUUUCACUUUUGGAACAAUUCUCUUCUCUCUCUUUAUCAAUCUGAGAAUAUUUGAUGUCUUUCCACAUGUAGUGUGGCUGAAUAAUCCCAUCUGAAAUAGUGUACAUGGGCUCUGAAUUUGCCUCAGGUACAUGUCCAUUCAUCUUGGAGAACAGCAGCCCCAGUCUCUUAAAGGACUCUUUCUUGGAACUGGAGAGCCUCUGAACUCUAUUUCCAUUUCGGAUAAAGGAGCGCUUACUGAUCCCAUUGCUUUUUGGCUUCUCUUCCACCAUGUCAAUCCCAGACAUAGUUUUAAUUAGCGCAGACACAUUGAAGUCCUUUUUUUUGUUGGCUACAUUGAAAGACACACUCUUGACUUUGGGUUUUUCUCCAGUGCUAUCCUCAUUUGUUUCAUCCUUUUGGGACACCUCUGUGCUACUGGUAGAAUAACUUCUCCUCUGGGGCUUCCUGUUUCCCAGGAGGUCAAGGACUUCAUAGCGAAAACUUGAGAUGUCCUGUUUUAAUUCCUAGGGCAAGAGGAAAAAUGAGGUACACUCAGCAGCAUUAUCGGUGAGGUAAAAGAGUGACCACGUUCUCCUGGGAGGAUUGCUCAGAGGUAUACAAAGGGCUGGUAUCAAAUAAUGAUUACAAGAAAACCACAUAGAUCUUUAUUAUUUGAUGACAGAAAAAAAGAAAGUGUGCUGUUAAUCCUGAGAACUGGAGAGUUUGCCAGAUCUUUACUGCCAUAGGCUGUGGUCCAGCCUUUGUGACCACCCCUUUCUCUCCCCUUCUUCCUGCUUGAGCGCUGGGGGACAAGCUGAAAUAAGGCAUUCUAUAGAAAUGAUGAAACUGUUGGAAUUUAGAAAUAUUACAGGAAUUUUUUAGUUGGCCCAACUUUAAUUUUGUUUACAAGUGUUCUCUGUAUCCAUUAACCCAGCCUCAGUCUGGGAUUAGGAGUGUGGUGUUGACACAAAUCAAGUGCUUUGUUCAAAGCCUUUGUCUACAUACUUCCACAUCUGGAAGUGACCAUAUGAUAAGACACCUGAAUGAGGAGUAUCUUCUGCUCAAAAGAAACCCACAUGCACACCGUGUAUAUAUUCCCAGCUCCAGUAAUGGUUGUAUUUCCACAUUUUUCCCAAAUUAGUGGGAACUCUUCAAGUGGCUACUCAAAUUAAUAUGAUCAUUAAUGAGAAAAAAGUUACCUUGAAAUUUUCUUCAGUUAAGCCUUCGUUGGUUUUGGAAGUUCUUAUCAUUGCUGCAACAUACCUUUUUACAAGAUUUCUAAUCACUUCCUGAAAUAAGAAACAAUACAAGUGAUUCAAAUUCUGGCUCUAAAUGUACUUCUCUGAGCUCUGACAGUGGUUCUCCCUGUUUUGCUCUCUUAAAAUGAAUUAAAAAAGAAAAUCACCAUUAGCAGUGCUUGUACUUUUCAUUUUGAAAGCUAUUAAAUAUUUUGCACUCUUUCAAUUGUAAAAGUCGUUCAGCAAAAUCUUCUUGAUUAUCUUAAAUGUCUUCAAAGGUAUUUAAAUUCUUUCACUGCAGUUUUUAAUCUCAGGUGCCAAAAGUUUAAGGUUACCAGUCUCACGUGUACUGUGUAGCUAAGCUUGC